GGGCUGGGGCUCAGUGGUAGAGUGCUCACCUAGCAUGUGUGAGGUGCUGGGUUCAAUCCUUAGCACCACA
This 70-nucleotide transfer RNA is filed under the name Marmota monax (woodchuck). RNAcentral describes it as "tRNA.Ala". Lineage: Eukaryota; Metazoa; Chordata; Mammalia; Rodentia; Sciuridae. The record is from RNAcentral.